GAUGAAGAACGUAUCGAAAUGCGAUAACUAAUGUGAAUUGCAGAAUUCCGUGAAUCAUCGAGUCUUUGAACGCACAUUGCGCCCCCUGGUAUUCCGGGGGCAUGCCUGUCCGAGCGUCAUUGCUGCCCAUCAAGCACGGCUUGUGUGUUGGGUCCUCGUCCCCCCCGGGGGACGUGCCCGAAAGGCAGCGGCGGCACCGCGUCCGGUCCUCGAGCGUAUGGGGCUUUGUCACCCGCUCUGCAGGCCCGGCCGGCGCUGGCCGACGCGAAAGCAACCAUUUUUUCUCCAGGUUGACCUCGGAUCAGGUAGGGAUACCCGCUGAACUUAAGCAUAUCAAUAAGCGGAGGA
RNAcentral lists this unclassified non-coding RNA (348 nucleotides) under soil metagenome. RNAcentral's name for it is "partial contains 5.8S ribosomal RNA, internal transcribed spacer 2, and large subunit ribosomal RNA". The stretch from base 1 to 119 matches the Rfam family "5.8S ribosomal RNA", at positions 35 to 154 of the family's 154-position model. The record is from RNAcentral.